RNAcentral lists this ribosomal RNA (576 nucleotides) under uncultured Vibrio sp. Its description in RNAcentral is "bacterial SSU rRNA". It matches the Rfam family "Bacterial small subunit ribosomal RNA", at positions 162 to 733 of the family's 1533-position model. The record is from RNAcentral. Lineage: Bacteria; Pseudomonadati; Pseudomonadota; Gammaproteobacteria; Vibrionales; Vibrionaceae.
GCUAAUACCGCAUAAUGCCUACGGGCCAAAGAGGGGGACCUUCGGGCCUCUCGCGUCAAGAUAUGCCUAGGUGGGAUUAGCUAGUUGGUGAGGUAAUGGCUCACCAAGGCGACGAUCCCUAGCUGGUCUGAGAGGAUGAUCAGCCACACUGGAACUGAGACACGGUCCAGACUCCUACGGGAGGCAGCAGUGGGGAAUAUUGCACAAUGGGCGAAAGCCUGAUGCAGCCAUGCCGCGUGUAUGAAGAAGGCCUUCGGGUUGUAAAGUACUUUCAGUUGUGAGGAAGGGGGUGUCGUUAAUAGCGGCAUCUCUUGACGUUAGCAACAGAAGAAGCACCGGCUAACUCCGUGCCAGCAGCCGCGGUAAUACGGAGGGUGCGAGCGUUAAUCGGAAUUACUGGGCGUAAAGCGCAUGCAGGUGGUUCAUUAAGUCAGAUGUGAAAGCCCGGGGCUCAACCUCGGAACCGCAUUUGAAACUGGUGAACUAGAGUGCUGUAGAGGGGGGUAGAAUUUCAGGUGUAGCUGUGAAAUGCGUAGAGAUCUGAAGGAAUACCAGUGGCGAAGGCGGCCCCCUGGA